This 74-nucleotide transfer RNA is filed under the name Hyphomonas sp. RNAcentral's name for it is "tRNA-Arg". It matches the Rfam family "tRNA". Rfam says of the family: Transfer RNA (tRNA) molecules are approximately 80 nucleotides in length. Their secondary structure includes four short double-helical elements and three loops (D, anti-codon, and T loops). RNAcentral also lists the same sequence under 1 other name. The record is from RNAcentral. Lineage: Bacteria; Pseudomonadati; Pseudomonadota; Alphaproteobacteria; Hyphomonadales; Hyphomonadaceae.
GGCCCCGUAGCUCAACUGGAUAGAGCAAGUGACUUCUAAUCACUAGGUUGGGCGUUCGAGUCGUCCCGGGGUCG